AUUGAACGCUGGCGGCAUGCCUAACACAUGCAAGUCGAACGGCAGCAUGAUGAGAUGCUUGCAUCUCAUUGAUGGCGAGUGGCGGACGGGUGAGUAACGCGUAGGAAUCUACCUUUAAGCUGGGGACAACCCGGGGAAACUCGGGCUAAUACCGAAUAGAAACUCUACGGAGGAAAGCUGGGAUCCGAAAGGGCCUGGCACUUGAAGAGGAGCCUGCGUACGAUUAGCUAGUUGGUGAGGUAAAGGCUCACCAAGGCGACGAUCGUUAGCUGGUCUGAGAGGAUGACCAGCCACACUGGGACUGAGAGACGGCCCAGACUCCUACGGGAGGCAGCAGUGGGGAAUAUUGGACAAUGGGGGCAACCCUGAUCCAGCGAUGCCGCGUGUGUGAAGAAGGCCUGAGGGUUGUAAAGCACUUUAGUUUGGGAAGAGAUGUGGGAGUUUAAGAGAUGCUCACAGAGACAUGAACCAAAGAAAAAGCCCCGGCUAAACUCGUGCCAGCCGCCGCAGUAA
RNAcentral lists this ribosomal RNA (513 nucleotides) under uncultured bacterium. RNAcentral's name for it is "partial 16S ribosomal RNA". It matches the Rfam family "Bacterial small subunit ribosomal RNA", at positions 29 to 523 of the family's 1533-position model. The record is from RNAcentral.